ACAAACCAUCGGGUACAAUUUUCAUCUAUAUACUCUCAUACACACACACUUAAAUCAACUCUACCAUAAACCUUACAAAUCAUAUUCAGAGAGAGAGAGUCAGUAAGAAAAGAGGGAGAGAGGGAAAGCUAGCAGAGAGCAAGAAUUUGGGAUUCGAUUCGAUCCUUUCAAGAUUUUACCUAUCGAAAGUAACAAAGCAGCACCAAUCGGUCAGCCCCUUAAUUUCUUUUGUAACUCAAGAACACUAGAAAGAAUAAAAUUUGAAUACACGAACCUAUCUUCGGCGCUGUACGAACAAGGGGCGGGGCGGACAAUGCUGUGGCUAAUUGCGGACGACGGCGACGCUGCGAGACCUUCAACGGUGCAGCAGUGGCGGCUUCCGUCGUGGGACAGCGGUGGUGUCCCUGACCCCGUCGGCGAGCAGCAGCAGAUUUUGGGCGAGACGGCGGCCACGCCGGUCUGAAAUCGGGACAGCGUUUGAGGCGUCGGUGCCGCCCGGAAUGAUGACCGACGAAUCGACGUAGCUCACGAACAGAACCGGAAAUCCGGCAGAGGGAGAGACUCCGGUGAGCGGGAAAAGCCGGCGGAGAAUUUGGGCUUAAUCUGAUUUGGGGAUUGUAGAAAGAAGAAGGGGAUGAGAAGACAGGGAAAAAUUCUUUUUUUUUAAAUGCAUGUUAAUGGAAUUUCAUUUUAAUGAAGAGGUUUAAUUGUAUUCC
This is a long non-coding RNA of Salvia splendens (bonfire salvia), 716 nucleotides long. RefSeq lists it as uncharacterized. The record is from RefSeq and is a predicted model, not a curated record. NCBI's taxonomy places the organism in Eukaryota, Viridiplantae, Streptophyta, Magnoliopsida, Lamiales, Lamiaceae. The transcript is spliced from 2 exons.